AUGCUGGUCGUAAUUUCUGGUUUGAAUGUUUUAAAUUGUUGCAAUCAAAUCACACGAUAUAAUUUAGUUGACGGAAUGCUAAUAUAUUUAUGAUACAGUAAUUUCACGAUAUUUUAGUUAUUUUUACGUCAUUCGCUACAAUAAUACUACACUAGUGUAACAUUAACAAUACAACACUAUUUGAUCAACUAAAUUGUAUUAUAGAACUUGAUUGCAAUAAUCUGAAAGGCUUAAGUCAAAAUUCGCAACAAAUUAAAAAUUCGAGGACCAAAGUAUCACGUAGCUCAUAGUUUGGGGACCAAAAUUGCAAAUUAGCCAACUUAAAACAAAAGUAUUUUACAUGCAAACCUUCUAUAUGUCUCAAACCAUCUCUAAAUCAUAACUUACUCAACAAUUCUGUGAUGCUAUUAUAUUGAGAGAGAUCAAGUUCUCUAUCAAAGUCAUAAUCCAACAUUCCAUCAAACUAAUAAUAAUUUGAUAGGAACCGACCGUCCCUAGAGCAAGUGGCUACUUAAAGGGCUUGGUGGUUGGUAUCCGAGGUCCCAAGUUCAAAUCCUAGUUGAUUCACAUUUUCAGCUAAGUUUAUUUCUAAAUAAAAUAAACGAAGCGGGUAGCGAGCUACCUAUCUCUCAAAAAAAAAUAAUAAUAAUUUGAUAGGACAAAAUUUCACAAAGUGGAUGUUAAAUU
This 687-nucleotide long non-coding RNA is filed under the name Ananas comosus (pineapple). RNAcentral's name for it is "long non-coding RNA (ACOM_LNC023748)". The record is from RNAcentral. Lineage: Eukaryota; Viridiplantae; Streptophyta; Magnoliopsida; Poales; Bromeliaceae.